GCUGGCGACCAUAGCAAGAGUGAACCACCUGAUCCCUUCCCGAACUCAGAAGUGAAACCUCUUAGCGCU
This 69-nucleotide ribosomal RNA is filed under the name Acinetobacter baumannii. The record is from RNAcentral. Lineage: Bacteria; Pseudomonadati; Pseudomonadota; Gammaproteobacteria; Moraxellales; Moraxellaceae.